GAUAUAGAAACGUAAAGAAGCCACCAACUACAACCAAUAUUUGUAGAUAUAAACUACCUCUUUCCCCUUGUAUUGCUUAUUUGUGAAGCCUUAAUCGAAUCUCAAGAUGAGAAAAAGUUUGUUCGUGUUAAUGUUCAUGCUUAUUCUUUUUGUUUCCGAAGAGAGGAUGGUGAAAGUGACAGCAAAGACGUGUGAAUCGAAGGGGACUGAGUUCACUUGUCUCAAUGAUGACACGUGUAAAAAGUCUUGUCAAAAGGAUGGUUUUAUUUCGGGAACAUGUGAAGGUUUUCAACGUAAAUGUAAUUGCUUCAAGCAGUGUUAAACUUAAAAAUAUGCAUGGCGUACUUUUUUCUAUGUAUCUUAUGUUUAUGAAAUUUAGUCUCACAUCUGUGCGCGACUGAAUGUAUAUUUAAUAAUGAUAAAUGAAGUAUCUUAUGUAUAAAA
Molecule: long non-coding RNA, 444 nt
Organism: Helianthus annuus (common sunflower)
Lineage: Eukaryota; Viridiplantae; Streptophyta; Magnoliopsida; Asterales; Asteraceae
Exons: 2
Source: RefSeq, a predicted model, not a curated record